This 492-nucleotide ribosomal RNA is filed under the name uncultured bacterium. RNAcentral describes it as "partial 16S ribosomal RNA". It matches the Rfam family "Bacterial small subunit ribosomal RNA", at positions 29 to 507 of the family's 1533-position model. The record is from RNAcentral.
AGUGAACGCUGGCGGUAGGCCUAACACAUGCAAGUCGAACGGCAGCACAGUAAGAGCUUGCUCUUACGGGUGGCGAGUGGCGGACGGGUGAGGAAUACAUCGGAAUCUACUUUUUCGUGGGGGAUAUCGUAGGGAAACUUACGCUAAUACCGCAUACGACCUACGGGUGAAAGCAGGGGCUCUUCGGACCUUGCGCGAUUGAAUGAGCCGAUGUCGGAUUAGCUAGUCGGCGGGGUAAAGGCCCACGAAGGCGACGAUCCGUAGCUGGUCUGAGAGGAUGAUCAGCCACACUGGAACUGAGACACGGUCCAGACUCCUACGGGAAGCAGCAGUGGGGAAUAUUAGACAAUGGGCGCAAGGCUGAUCCAGCCAUACCGCGUGGGUGAAGAAGGACUUCGGGUUGUAAAGCCCUUUUGUUGGGAAAGAAAAGCAGCAGGUUAAUACCCCGCUGUUCUGACGGUACCCAAAGAAUAAGCACCGGCUAACUUCGUG